Molecule: non-coding RNA, 116 nt
Filed under: Peptococcaceae bacterium CEB3
Lineage: Bacteria; Bacillati; Bacillota; Clostridia; Eubacteriales; Peptococcaceae
Also listed under: 1 other name
Description: Desulfitobacterium sp. enrichment culture clone CEB3 FMN riboswitch aptamer (RFN element)
Rfam family: FMN riboswitch aptamer (RFN element)
About the family: The RFN element is a highly conserved domain that is found frequently in the 5'-untranslated regions of prokaryotic mRNAs that encode for flavin mononucleotide (FMN) biosynthesis and transport proteins. This element is a metabolite-dependent riboswitch that directly binds FMN in the absence of proteins.
Source: Rfam by way of RNAcentral
UUGCUCCUCUGGGGAUAGGUGAAAAUCCUUACCGGCGGUAGAGCCCGCGAGCCGUUUUGGCAGAUCCGGUGUGAUUCCGGAGCCGACAGUUACAGUCUGGAUGGGAAGAGGGAAGG